UAAUGAUGAUGGUAAAUAUCUUUUUAUAAUCUUUUCUCUUUUGAAGUGCAUGUCUUUGUUUACAUUUUCUUAUUGUCCUCAUUACUGAUGACAAGUUAUUGCACUGGCACUUCUUAAUUGCAACUUGUCUUAUGAAUGAACUUAUACAUCUUUCAAUCCUAAAAAAAUACUGACAAUGUGAUCUAGCUUCAUGAGAAACAAAUCAUCUGGUUUUUUUUAGAUUAGUUAUUGUAUUUAUGAGUUUAUGACAUAUUGACUAUACACUGUGUUUCUUGAGGGUGUC
Molecule: long non-coding RNA, 283 nt
Filed under: Locusta migratoria (migratory locust)
Lineage: Eukaryota; Metazoa; Arthropoda; Insecta; Orthoptera; Acrididae
Description: partial Lnc69770
Source: RNAcentral